RNAcentral lists this ribosomal RNA (406 nucleotides) under uncultured bacterium. RNAcentral's name for it is "partial 16S ribosomal RNA". It matches the Rfam family "Bacterial small subunit ribosomal RNA", at positions 30 to 526 of the family's 1533-position model. The record is from RNAcentral.
AUUGAACGCUGGCGGCAGGCCUAACACAUGCAAGUCGAACGAGUGGCGGACGGGUGAGUAAUGUUUGGGAAUCUGGCUUAUGGAGGGGGAUAACUACGGGAAACUGUAGCUAAUACCGCGUACCAUAGGAUGAGCCCAAGUGGGAUUAGCUAGUUGGUGAGGUAACGGCUCACCAAGCCGACGAUCCCUAGCUGGUCUGAGAGGAUGACCAGCCACACUGGGACUGAGACACGGCCCAGACUCCUACGGGAGGCAGCAGUGGGGAAUAUUGCACAAUGGGCGCAAGCCUGAUGCAGCCAUGCCGCGUGAAUGAAGAAGGCCUUCGGGUUGUAAAGUACUUUCGGUAGCGAGGCGUUAACGACAGAAGAAGCACCGGCUAACUCCGUGCCAGCAGCCGCGGUAAUAC